GGAUCCAGACUUUGAUUAUGGCUCAGGAUGAACGCUAGCUACAGGCUUAACACAUGCAAGUCGAGGGGCAGCGGGAUUGAAGCUUGCUUCAAUUGCCGGCGACCGGCGCACGGGUGAGUAACGCGUAUCCAACCUUCCGUACACUCAGGGAUAGCCUUUCGAAAGAAAGAUUAAUACCUGAUAGUAUCUUAAGCACACAUGUAAUUAAGAUUAAAGAUUUAUCGGUGUACGAUGGGGAUGCGUUCCAUUAGGUAGUAGGCGGGGUAACGGCCCACCUAGCCAACGAUGGAUAGGGGUUCUGAGAGGAAGGUCCCCCACAUUGGAACUGAGACACGGUCCAAACUCCUACGGGAGGCAGCAGUGAGGAAUAUUGGUCAAUGGACGAGAGUCUGAACCAGCCAAGUAGCGUGAAGGAUGAAGGUCCUACGGAUUGUAAACUUCUUUUAUAAGGGAAUAAACCCUCCCACGUGUGGGAGCUUGUAUGUACCUUAUGAAUAAGCAUCGGCUAACUCCGUGCCAGCAGCCGCGGUAAUACGGAGGAUGCGAGCGUUAUCCGGAUUUAUUGGGUUUAAAGGGAGCGCAGACGGGUCGUUAAGUCAGCUGUGAAAGUUUGGGGCUCAACCUUAAAAUUGCAGUUGAUACUGGCGUCCUUGAGUGCGGUUGAGGUGUGCGGAAUUCGUGGUGUAGCGGUGAAAUGCUUAGAUAUCACGAAGAACUCCGAUUGCGAAGGCAGCACACUAAUCCGUAACUGACGUUCAUGCUCGAAAGUGUGGGUAUCAAACAGGAUUAGAUACCCUGGUAGUCCACACGGUAAACGAUGGAUACUCGCUGUUGGCGAUAUACUGUCAGCGGCUUAGCGAAAGCGUUAAGUAUCCCACCUGGGGAGUACGCCGGCAACGGGUGCAACUCAA
Molecule: ribosomal RNA, 911 nt
Filed under: uncultured Bacteroidota bacterium
Lineage: Bacteria; Pseudomonadati; Bacteroidota
Description: bacterial SSU rRNA
Rfam family: Bacterial small subunit ribosomal RNA
Source: RNAcentral